RNAcentral lists this ribosomal RNA (497 nucleotides) under uncultured bacterium. Its description in RNAcentral is "partial 16S ribosomal RNA". It matches the Rfam family "Bacterial small subunit ribosomal RNA", at positions 28 to 507 of the family's 1533-position model. The record is from RNAcentral.
GAUGAACGCUGGCGGCGUGCCUAAUACAUGCAAGUCGAGCGAACGGACGAGAAGCUUGCCUCUCUGAUGGUAGCGGCGGACGGGUGAGUAACACGUGGAUAACCUACCUAUAAGACUGGGAUAACUUCGGGAAACCGUAGCUAAUACCGGAUAAUAUUUUGAACCGCAGGGUUCAAAAGUGAAAGACGGUCUUGCUGCCACUUAUAGAUGGAUCCGCGCUGCAUUAGCUAGUUGGUAAGGUAACGGCUUACCAAGGCAACGAUGCAUAGCCGACCUGAGAGGGUGAUCGGCCACACUGGAACUGAGACACGGUCCAGACUCCUACGGGAGGCAGCAGUAGGGAAUCUUCCGCAAUGGGCGCAAGCCUGACGGAGCAACGCCGCGUGAGUGAUGAAGGUCUUCGGAUCGUAAAACUCUGUUAUUAGGGAAGAACAUCUGUGUACGUAACUGUGCACAUCUUGACGGUACCUAAUCAGAAAGCCCCGGCUAACUACGUG